GUUGCAGGUUCCUUUCCUGGGGAGGCUGCGCGCCCAGGCACAGCCACUACUCCUGCUGCUGCUCUCAGAGGGCAGGCAGAGUGCAGAGCUCAGCAGGUCAACAUCCGGAUUCCAUGUUUUAGCAACGGGGCCCGGGGGUCAGCCCCUGGUGCCUGUGGCGGGUCUGUCGAGGUCCACUGCCCCUCAGAUGCUGCUGGGUCACCAGGACCUAGACUCACCCAGUCUUUGUUGCUGUUCAGUGAGCACAUGGCUGCCCCGCACCGCGAAUUAUGUCCCCCGAAAGAGGCAAAAGGCCACGUGAAGACAGAGACACCGGGAGAAGCCUGCGAAGGUGGAAGAUGAGAACGAUGCUUCUGCGAGCCCGGGAGCAGCUCGGACCACCAGAAGCUGCAGAGAGGCUUGGGCCACAUCCUUCCCUAGAGGCUCCAGGCGGAGCUUGGCCCUGCAGGCAUCUUGGUGUCAGACGUCUGGUCUCCAAAACGAAGUACCUGGACCUUCGGAUCGUAUCUGGCAAUUCCAGCUGCAGGCCACUGCAAGGGGGCAGGGCCCAUCUCCUUCCCCAGGCCCUGGGGGGCAAAAGCAGCC
RNAcentral lists this long non-coding RNA (585 nucleotides) under Sus scrofa (pig). Its description in RNAcentral is "lncRNA (ENSSSCG00040068655.1)". The record is from RNAcentral. Lineage: Eukaryota; Metazoa; Chordata; Mammalia; Artiodactyla; Suidae.